GACGAACGCUGGCGGCGUGCUUAACACAUGCAAGUCGAACGGUGAAGCGCCUUCCUUUUUGGUGGGUGUGGAUGAGUGGCGAACGGGUGAGUAACACGUGAGUAACCUGCCCCCUUCUUCUGGAUAACCGCAUGAAAGUGUGGCUAAUACGGGAUAUUCUGGGUCUGUCGCAUGAUGGGUCUGUGAAAGAUAUUGUUUCGGUGGGGGAUGGGCUCGCGGCCUAUCAGCUUGUUGGUGGGGUGAGGGCCUACCAAGGCGGUGACGGGUAGCCGGCCUGGGAGGGUGGACGGUCACACUGGGACUGAGACACGGACCAGACUCCUACGGGAGGCAGCAGUGGGGAAUAUUGCACAAUGGGCGCAAGCCUGAUGCAGCGACGCCGCGUGAGGGAUGGAGGCCUUCGGGUUGUGAACCUCUUUCGCCAGUGAAGCAGGCCUGCCUCGUUUGUGGGUGGGUUGACGGUAGCUGGAGAAGAAGCGCCGGCUAACUACGUG
Molecule: ribosomal RNA, 494 nt
Filed under: uncultured bacterium
Lineage: Bacteria
Description: partial 16S ribosomal RNA
Rfam family: Bacterial small subunit ribosomal RNA
Source: RNAcentral